Non-coding RNA from Ornithorhynchus anatinus (platypus), 65 nucleotides. NCBI's taxonomy places the organism in Eukaryota, Metazoa, Chordata, Mammalia, Monotremata, Ornithorhynchidae. The record is from Rfam.
AGCAGCGUGGCUCAGUGGAAAGAGCCCGGGCUUGGGAGUCAUGGGUUCGAAUCCCAGCUCUGCCA